Molecule: unclassified non-coding RNA, 348 nt
Filed under: soil metagenome
Description: partial contains 5.8S ribosomal RNA, internal transcribed spacer 2, and large subunit ribosomal RNA
Rfam family: 5.8S ribosomal RNA (bases 1-120)
Source: RNAcentral
GAUGAAGAACGUAGUGAAAUGCGAUAAGUAAUGUGAAUUGCAGAAUUCAGUGAAUCAUCGAAUCUUUGAACGCACAUUGCGCCCGCCAGUAUUCUGGCGGGCAUGCCUGUCUGAGCGUCAUUUCAACCCUCAUGCCCCUAGGGCGUGGUGUUGGGGAUCGGCCAAAGCCCGCGAGGGACGGCCGGCCCCUAAAUCUAGUGGCGGACCCGUCGUGGCCUCCUCUGCGAAGUAGUGAUAUUCCGCAUCGGAGAGCCAUGAGCCCCUGCCGUUAAACCCCCAACUUUCCAAGGUUGACCUCAGAUCAGGUAGGAAUACCCGCUGAACUUAAGCAUAUCAAUAAGCGGAGGA